This 198-nucleotide ribosomal RNA is filed under the name uncultured bacterium. Its description in RNAcentral is "partial 16S ribosomal RNA". It matches the Rfam family "Bacterial small subunit ribosomal RNA", at positions 328 to 539 of the family's 1533-position model. The record is from RNAcentral.
ACGCUCGACACCUACGGGGGGCAGCAGUGGGGAAUAUUGCACAAUGGGGGAAACCCUGAUGCAGCGACGCCGCGUGAGCGAAGAAGUAUUUCGGUAUGUAAAGCUCUAUCAGCAGGGAAGAAAAUGACGGUACCUGACUAAGAAGCACCGGCUAAAUACGUGCCAGCAGCCGCGGUAAUCUGAGCGGGCUGGCAAGGC